AAUCGUUCACGACCGACUCAACACUGGCUCGUAGCUUCGCCCAUGGUGCACCUGAGAUAAUUAGCAACGCUGCCUCUGUAUUUUCCAUCUCCCAAUUAUAGCACCUACGUUGUGCAUGACUGCUAGUUGACAAACGCAACAAAUUAGAUGCUGCGGACGGGGAAUGGCGCGAGCUAAGCACUGUUAUCAUCAACUGAAAGCGCAAAAUGAUUGAGAAAAGACGGAGACUGGUGCUCGCAUAGCACUUGUUAUUUUCGGCUUUGAAGCUGCCGAACUCCAGUCGAAGAAAAGAUUGACAAAUUAUGAUGCCGUCUUGGUUGUGUUCAUUGGUGGUGAUGUCAAACAUGGCACCCCCAUCGCCCGGCACGAUGGUGUACUCCACUUCGGCGUUUUUGCCCACGUCCAAGUCAUGGGCUUUGAUUCUUCCCACUGCCGAUCCCACCGCCGAAGACUCGGGAACACGUAAGUGGAAGAAACCUGAAAACAAAUAAAACCAGUAAGCCAUUAGAGCAAAUCUUUUAAGCACGUGGAGAGCACAUCAUCUUGUAAUGUUAAGAUAAUCAAAUAUGAACCUGUGAGGAAGAAUCUCACAACAAACAGACAGCAAAUUGAUUUCUCAGCUCGGAGAAAAAAAACAUCCUGAUUAAAAUUAUUCUCAGACAAGCAGCUGUUGACGGAAUUCUUCAGUUUGAUUUUCUACCAAAUUGAAUGUAAAAGUACUAAGUUGAAGUAGAAUCAUUGGUUGCCAUUGAUAU
This is a long non-coding RNA of Corythoichthys intestinalis (scribbled pipefish), 755 nucleotides long. RefSeq lists it as uncharacterized. The transcript is spliced from 4 exons. The record is from RefSeq and is a predicted model, not a curated record. Lineage: Eukaryota; Metazoa; Chordata; Actinopteri; Syngnathiformes; Syngnathidae.